This 777-nucleotide ribosomal RNA is filed under the name uncultured Serratia sp. RNAcentral describes it as "bacterial SSU rRNA". It matches the Rfam family "Bacterial small subunit ribosomal RNA", at positions 722 to 1502 of the family's 1533-position model. Lineage: Bacteria; Pseudomonadati; Pseudomonadota; Gammaproteobacteria; Enterobacterales; Yersiniaceae. The record is from RNAcentral.
CCGGCCCCCUGGACGAGACUGACGCUCAGGUGCGAAAGCGUGGGGAGCAAACAGGAUUAGAUACCUGGUAGUCCACGCUGUAAACGAUGUCGAUUUGGAGGUGUGCCCUUGAGGCGUGGCUUCCGGAGCUAACGCGUUAAAUCGACCGCUGGGGAGUAUGGCCGCAAGGUUAAAACUCAAAUGAAUUGACGGGGGCCCGCACAAGCGGUGGAGCAUGUGGUUUAAUUCGAUGCAACGCGAAGAACCUUACCUACUCUUGAUAUCCAGAGAACUUAGCAGAGAUGCUUUGGUGCCUUCGGGAACUCUGAGACAGGUGCUGCAUGGCUGUCGUCAGCUCGUGUUGUGAAAUGUUGGGUUAAGUCCCGCAACGAGCGCAACCCUUAUCCUUUGUUGCCAGCGGUUCGGCCGGGAACUCAAAGGAGACUGCCAGUGAUAAACUGGAGGAAGGUGGGGAUGACGUCAAGUCAUCAUGGCCCUUACGAGUAGGGCUACACACGUGCUACAAUGGCGUAUACAAAGAGAAGCGACCUCGCGAGAGCAAGCGGACCUCAUAAAGUACGUCGUAGUCCGGAUUGGAGUCUGCAACUCGACUCCAUGAAGUCGGAAUCGCUAGUAAUCGUAGAUCAGAAUGCUACGGUGAAUACGUUCCCGGGCCUUGUACACACCGCCCGUCACACCAUGGGAGUGGGUUGCAAAAGAAGUAGGUAGCUUAACCUUCGGGAGGGCGCUUACCACUUUGUGAUUCAUGACUGGGGUGAAGUCGUAACAAGGUAACCA